Molecule: non-coding RNA, 75 nt
Filed under: Heterosigma akashiwo
Lineage: Eukaryota; Raphidophyceae; Chattonellales; Chattonellaceae
Source: RNAcentral
AGAAAAAAAAAAAAAAUGAUAGAGAGAGGUGAAAGGUUGGACUACAACUUUUUUUUUUUUUUUUUUUUUUUUUUU